This 849-nucleotide long non-coding RNA is filed under the name Malus domestica (apple). RNAcentral describes it as "long non-coding RNA (MDOM_LNC020538)". Lineage: Eukaryota; Viridiplantae; Streptophyta; Magnoliopsida; Rosales; Rosaceae. The record is from RNAcentral.
GUAGGAAUCCUUGUUCUUCUAGGAAUCCUCAUGUGAUUAGGAAUCCAUCUUCAAUUACGAAUCCUUCGUCGAUUAGGAAUCCCUCGUCGAUUAGGAAUCCUCCUUCAUGUAAGCACUUUCCUACUUCAACUAGGAAACCUUGUUCAAGUAGGAAUCAUCAUCUUCAAGUCUUCAAAUUCGUACAAACCUUGGCUCCAAAUAUGUGACAUGCAUUCCAAGCUCCAAAUUGCUCCAAAAUGCUCCAAAAUGCAUCUUCUUGCACACUUUGACCUUAGAACCUGAAAACACACAAAAGUGACUUUAAACACUAAAAUAGCUAAGUAAACACAACCUAAAUGCACGAGAACAAGCCAAUUAAGUAGCAUAAAUAUGCUCACGAACAGGUAUGCUCACGAACAGGUUGUGAGCUACGGGUCAUAAACUAGUACCUGCACACAAGAGCAACAAGGUUAGUAACCAACUCACUAGACUCGGCACAAGUAACAAAUUAAGGUGCCUAUGCACAGCACAAAAACAAACACACACACAUGGUGCAAAAUUCAAAAACAAAACAGAAAACGAAACAAUUUAAACAAGACUCAAGACAAGGGAUUAGCAACUUUGCUAAUCCCCGGCAACGGCGCCAAAAUUUUAUGUGAAAAUUAUGUUGACACACAAAUUAAACCCUAUUUGUGACAAUUGUAGUAAUGAUGUAAGUAGGGAUCGUUCUAACCGGGGAUUAACUAGGGGUACUAAUCACUUGAAAACUGAAUUAGAAAUGUAAAAACAAAGUUUAAAACACUAGAUUAGACUCAAGGAAUGCAAAACUAAUGUUUAAAAUACUAAAACAAACGAAAACUCAAAACAGCA